Molecule: ribosomal RNA, 1468 nt
Filed under: uncultured Bordetella sp.
Lineage: Bacteria; Pseudomonadati; Pseudomonadota; Betaproteobacteria; Burkholderiales; Alcaligenaceae
Description: partial 16S-23S ribosomal RNA intergenic spacer
Rfam family: Bacterial small subunit ribosomal RNA
Source: RNAcentral
AGUUCGGAUCCUGGCUCAGAUUGAACGCCGGCGGAUGACACAUGCAAGUCGAACGGCAGCACGGACUUCGGUCUGGUGGCGAGGGCGAACGGUGAGUAAUGCAUCGGAACGCCUAGUAGCGGGGGAUAACUACGCGAAAGGUAGCUAAUACCGCAUACCCUUCGGGGGAAAGCGGGGACCUUCGGGCCUCGCACUAUUAGAGCGGCCGAUAUCGGAUUAGCUAGUUAUGGGGUAACGGCUCACCAAGGCGAUGAUCCGUAGUUGGUUUUGAGAGGAUUGACUGACACACUGGGACUUGAGACACGGCCCAGACUCCUACGGGAAAGGCGGUGCGGGGAAUUUUGACAAUGGGAAACUCCUGAUCCAGCCAUCCUGGCGUGUGCGAUGAAGGCCUUCGGGUUGUAAAGCACUUUGGCAGGAGAAGAAACGGCACGGGAUAAUACCCCGUGCAACUGACGGUACUGCAGAAUAAGCACCGGCUAACUACGUGCCAGCAGCCGCGGUAAUACGUAGGGUGCAAGCGUUAAUCGGAAUUACUGGGCGUAAAAGCGUGCGCAGGCGGUCUGGAAAGAAAGAUGUGAAAUCCCAGAGCUUUAACUUUUGGAACUGCAUUUUUAACUACCGAGCUAGAGGUCAGAGGAGGUGGAAUUCCGCGUGUAGCAGUGAAAUGCGUGUAGAUAUGCGGAGAACACCGAUGGCGAAGGCAGCCUCUCUGGGAUAACACUGACGCUCAUGCACGAAAGCGUGGGGAGCAAACAGGAUUAGAUACCUGGUAGUCCACGCCCUAAAACGAUGUCAAAUCAUUGCUGGGGCCUUCGGGCCUUGGCGCAGCUAACGCGGUUGACCGCCUGGGGAGUACGGUCGCAAGAUUAAAACUCAAAGGAAUUGACGAGACUCCCGCACAAGCGGUGGAUGAUGUGGAUUACCCCGAUGCAACGCGAAAACCUUACCUACCCUUGACAUGUCUGGAAUCCUGAAGAGAUUUGGGAGUGCUCGCAAGAGAACCGGAACACAGGUGCUGCAUGGCUGUCGUCAGGGGGCUCGUGUCGUGAGAUGUUGGGUUAAGUCCCGGCAACGAGCGCAACCUCUGGCCGCUGAAUAGCAUGAAAGGGCAAUUUAAUGAGACUGCCGGUGACAAACCGGAGGAAGGUGGGGAUGACGUCAAGUCCUCAUGGCCCUGCGGGUGGUGGUUUCUCACAUACGGUACAAUGGUCGGGACGAGGCUGCUAACCUGGCGAGGAGCCAAUCCAGAAACCCGAUCGUAGUCCGGAUCGCAGUCUGCACCUGACAGAAGUCGGAAUCGCUAGUAAUCGCGGAUCAGCAUGUCGCGGUGAAUACGUUCCCGGGUCUUGUACACACCGCCCGUCGCCACCAUGGGAGUGGGUUUUACCAGAAGUAGUUAGCCUAACCGUAAGGGAGGGCGAUUACUACGGUAGGAUUCAUGACUGGGGUGAAGUCGUAACAAGGU